Long non-coding RNA from Myotis davidii, 1401 nucleotides. RefSeq lists it as uncharacterized. The record is from RefSeq and is a predicted model, not a curated record. Lineage: Eukaryota; Metazoa; Chordata; Mammalia; Chiroptera; Vespertilionidae. The transcript has 2 exons.
AAAAGCCACUAAAACAGUACAAAAUCUAAAUAAAUUUCUGGUUAUUUGUAGUUUUAAUUAAUUUCCCCUCCAGCAGUAAUUUAGCUGAUGAUUACUGUCACUUUUUAGGUGGGGAGGGAUGGGAGAGGAGAAGGGCGCUUGGUUUGGCUACAGUUAAAAACAUUAUGGUAUUUCAAUUCCUCCUUUCACUGAUUUUAUGUGUAGACAAGGCCUUCGGGAUAAGGUGGUAUAAAUAAUCAUAGGAUAGGCACAGUUUAUACUGAAGCAUAAGUAUUCAUAUUGAAAAAUGUUUUCUGCAUGCCAUUUAACGAUGUCACAGUAUGAUGUUUUAAAGAUUAAUCUGUUUAAUCAGGGCAUAUCAGAGAAACUUGUAGAUUGUUUUCUGCAGUGUUACAAUGUCAAGUGGUAUUACGGUUUUUUUUCUAUUGUUAUAGCCAGUGCACAAUUCUUACUAAUGUUGAUUUUAAAAAGGAAUAAUGCUAUAAUCCCUUGUAAAUAUGUGUAUGUCUUAAAUAUCUUAAACUAAAUGCCAUAUAUUUCAAGCUUGUUUCCUAUUCUCAAUGUCAAGGAAAAUCAAACAUUUGCCUAUUAUGCAUCUACUUUUAAUGGUCUUUGGUUGGUUUUAUAUUCAUUGUUUUAAAAGCUUUACACUUUUUGGUGUGAGAACUUCAUUUGAAAGUCUUUUACAUAAUUAUCUACAAUUAUACUUGGUUUUUUUAAGGUAAAUAUUCUUUAAAAUAUCAGAAACUAGCUUAUGAUUUUAUAUUUUGUCAUAUUUAAUUCCUAUUUUAUGAAUAAGCCAUUCUCUGUUUGGGUCAAGUAAAAAGCCUUCAUUUGAUUACUAACUUGAGAAAUAAAUCAUUUUGGCUUCUGCUUUAUAUCAAAACUUUCAAUAAUUUUUUUCCCUAAUUAUGUGGAAGCUAGUGUAACUUUUGUACUCAAAACUAAAUUCUAAGGGGAGUAUAAUAGUUAAAUUUUUCAGUGACUGCCUAUAGGAGUGAUUAUUAUUAGAACGAGAUUCUAUUUAUAAAUCUGUAAUCUUUAUGUAGUGAUUAUCACCUGCUUCAUUGUUACUUUUACAGUAAGCUAUUAAACUAGUUUUUAUGCUUCAAAUAAUGCAAUACAAAUCAUAAGAACACACUGAAUGAUGGAUUGCUUGAUUGUAUAUUACAUGUAGUUUAGGAAUAUUUGGGUUGCUUUGAAGUAACCCAGUUUUAAGUUCUCAUUUUGACUUUUUCAAUUGCCAAACAUAUUCCAAUACCUACUGUAUGUGAACAGGUAUUGUGCUAAGUGUUAUUUUGUGUCAGGCUAUUUCUCCCUUUUUUUGAACACAUCAGAUGUAGCCAAAAAACAUGACACUUAAGUGAAGUUUUUUAAAUAAAUGUGUUUAUGCCACUAAAA